This is a long non-coding RNA of Bradysia coprophila, 1298 nucleotides long. The record is from RefSeq and is a predicted model, not a curated record. Lineage: Eukaryota; Metazoa; Arthropoda; Insecta; Diptera; Sciaridae.
UCGGCACAAAGACAAACAAACUGACAUAAAUAUCACAGAGUCCGGUUGCAAUUAUCACAGAAACUCGAUUGGCGUGGACGAACGGUAAAUAUCACAGGUCGAGCUUGUUCAGCCAUUCUAGCGCCCCACUGGUUAAUUUUACGAUGUCCGCAAUUUCGCCCCUGUAUUUAUAGAUCGGACAAUCCAUCAACAGGUGUGUGGUGCUCUGGCAAGCGAAUCCACAUUCGCAGCUGGGAUCGUUUCUCAGAUUCCACUUGGACAUCAUUUCGUUACACCGUCCAUGCUUCGUCCUCAGCCGAUUGAGGUUACACCAGGCUUUACGCGGCAAAUGAAGUUCUUUUGAUCUAGCGCCAGUGACGGUUUUCGGCUCGAAUUCGUUUUGCAGAAGGUUUCGUGCAGUGAAUGUCGGUGCAUUCCUGGACUUUAGCCUUACAAUAGUUGGCAGUGAAAAGUCGCUGUGUAAUGGGAUUUCGCUGUACUCGUUCACUUUCCGGCAUUGAGCGACCAGUGCAUUCUGUCGGCGGAUGUGCGGUGGUACAAUGCUGCUGAGAGCAGGGAGCCAUUCGGUCGGAGUAGACUUAACCGUGCCAGUGAUUAUUCUCAUAGAAACGUUAAGGUCCACAUCAACUUUCCUGGCAUGCGCGCUAUUGAUCCACGUUUGACAACAGUAUUCGGCACAUGAGUAAACAAGCGCUAGUGCGGUCGUACGGAGACAUGCAGCAGCAGCUCCCCAUGAUGUUCCCGUUAAUUUCCGAAGCAAAUUGUUCCUGGUGGUGAGUUUAGCUCGGAGCUUCCCAAUAUGCGGUGGAAGCAGCUCGCAACGGUUUUGGUAAUGCUCGGGAUCAGCCUCCAUUGCUUGCAAUAUCGGACGAACUCUUCCAUAUCUCUGGAAUUUCCGAGCAAUCGAUGUCGGAAGGUCAUGUAUGUACAAGUUGAACAGAAGACGAGAGAGUACGGAGCCUUGAGCGAGGCCGUUAUUUAGUUUCCUGAAUCGGCUGCAUUUAUCGGUCAGCAACACUUGGAACAGUCUGUCGCUGAGCAUAUUUGAGACUAGGUUGACGAUCUGUAUAUAAACUCGAAGACAUACAAACACAAACGUUUGGUUUAUGUGUACGAAAGCAUCAUGUGUGACAAUUAAACAAAAUCAAAGCAACAAAUCGGGAUUUAAUCGUGAAUCUUGGUCGCCGAACCGGCUAGAGCGCGUCAAUUUUAUGCACAUGAUCUUGAGUUCUAUUCUCACAACAAACAUUUUUUUAUAUUUUUUCAUUCUGUUAUCAAAAAACUGUUAAUUAACUGAU